CAUUCAUCUACCACAGUCAAAAAGACAGGAGAGUGGCAUGUACAGAUGACAAGGAACUCUGGUUAUGCUUUAAAAGCAUUUAUCUGGGUUUCCUGGGAUUGUGGAAAGGUUUACAGGUAGGAAGAGUAUGAGCAUCUUCCAUUUUAACUUUGCAAGAAGGGACAGACACACAUAGUCACCACCUAACACAGAAGAACUACAGGGCAGGGAAAUUGACCCCUGUAAGGGAAUUGACAUGAUCCAAGGACCUUGAACAGAGCCUGGUACACAACAGCCAGUUCACUAGUACCCCAUUGACAGCAUACAGACACCCCUAGGUCGGCAAUGAGAAACACAAGAUCUGCACAAGAAAGGUUUAUUGAUUCCUACUACAAAGGACCUACCCACCAAGUUAGAAAGGCCAUGUCUAGCUGAAGAGCUAAUAAUGAAGAUGCUGAG
Molecule: long non-coding RNA, 438 nt
Filed under: Heterocephalus glaber (naked mole-rat)
Lineage: Eukaryota; Metazoa; Chordata; Mammalia; Rodentia; Bathyergidae
Description: lncRNA (ENSHGLG00100033402.1)
Source: RNAcentral